This is a long non-coding RNA of Neofelis nebulosa (Clouded leopard), 1127 nucleotides long. RefSeq lists it as uncharacterized. The transcript is spliced from 3 exons. The record is from RefSeq and is a predicted model, not a curated record. NCBI's taxonomy places the organism in Eukaryota, Metazoa, Chordata, Mammalia, Carnivora, Felidae.
UGCUGUUUCGGAUAUCUGCGUUUUCCUGAAUUUCCUUAUUAAUAGCUUACUUCUCUUCCUAUAGGCUUGGCUUGACAUAACCCAUCUGGAUCAUGUCUACAAAGGAAACAAACUGCAUACAUUUUUGCUGCAAAAGAUAACAAACCCCACAAAUUUUCAGUAGUGGAUAACUAAGAAAUGAACCUCACUGGACAAAAAUUAUAAGAACUACGAAAGUCUGAGUUUCUGAAAUUGAAGAAGAGUUCCAGCUAGACCUUCCUAUUGUAAUCUGCAGUAAGAAGCACCCUCAUGGACAAUGAUGUUAAGAAUAUGGGGAGAAAAGCAUUUGAUGGAUGAGUGUGAUUUUUACCUGGCAUGAUGGCAGCAUGUGAGCAAGGACAAUGCCAACAUGGCCCUGGAGAAGGCAGAAAAAGAAACAAGUUAACUCGGGUCCUUAAUGCUUUCUUCUCAUUCUGAGACAUCAGUCUUGCCAAAUAAAAACAUGACUCUGAAUGUAAUACAGUAAAGUCACAUAGUCGGGGGAAGGCUGAAGAGAAUAAGAGGAGAGACAUAAUACCCCGCCGCUGCAGAAAUCCACAAUUCUGUCACCGGGUUUGGCCUGACUUGUCACCACAUAAACAAGGUUGUUUAACUGCUGUUGCUUCCUUAAAGCGCGAUCACUGGACAUUUUGCCUGGGGAAGACAAGAAGUGAAGACAAUGAAAUGGUAGGCAUUGUGAGAGAGUGAGAAGGCACUCAGAGAAUGGAUGGCCGGCGUCCAGGAAGAGGGGUGAAUAUAUAAAUGAGUUACAAAUUCCACAUAAUCCAUGAGGAGAGGACCAGAGACCUGGAACCCAGAAAUGAAAUCUCUCUAUGCAUAUUUUUACUUUUAUUCACAUCCAAUUUUUCUUUCGAUUGUCAUUGAAAAAACAUCUUCUAGAGAGGAAACAAUAAGUGAAAUAUUAAUCGCAGAGUCAUACACAAAGUGCUGAGUAAAUGUUUACUGGAUGAAUAAAAGUUAAGAGUCACAGUCCCUUCCCUCUAUCUCUACCAGAGACAUAUUGCAAAGAUUACCUAAUUCUAGCUCAUUGUUUAAAUCUCCUUGGACAAAACAGAUUUAUAAUAAAUAAAAACAUUCUUACUAUUUAA